GACGAACGCUGGCGGCGUGCUUAACACAUGCAAGUCGAACGGGUCUGCCCUGUUUUUUGCGGGGUGGGUCAGUGGCGAACGGGUGAGUAACACGUGAGUAACCUGCCCCUCACUUCUGGAUAACCGCUUGAAAGGGUGGCUAAUACGGGGUGUUCUGGCUGUGCCGCAUGGUGUGGCUGGGAAAGAUUCACUUUUGUGGUGUUUUGGUGGGGGAUGGGCUCGCGGCUUAUCAGCUUGUUGGGGGGGUGAUGGCCUGCCAAGGCUUGGACGGGUAGCCGGCCUGGGAGGGUGGGCGGUCAGAGUGGGACUGAGAUACGGCCGAGACUCCUGCGGGAGGCAGCAGUGGGGGGUAUUGCACAGUGGGCGGAAGCCUGAUGCAGCGACGUCGCGUGAGGGAUGGAGGCCUUCGGGUUGUGAACCUCUUUCGCCGGUGAAGAAGGUCCUGCUCUUUGGGGUGGGGUUGACGGUAGCCGGGUUAUGAAGCGCCGGCUAACUACGUG
Molecule: ribosomal RNA, 500 nt
Filed under: uncultured bacterium
Lineage: Bacteria
Description: partial 16S ribosomal RNA
Rfam family: Bacterial small subunit ribosomal RNA
Source: RNAcentral